Molecule: long non-coding RNA, 1752 nt
Organism: Esox lucius (northern pike)
Lineage: Eukaryota; Metazoa; Chordata; Actinopteri; Esociformes; Esocidae
Source: Ensembl
UGCAAAUGAAAAUCGUCUCAGAGAUGUUACUUAAAUUCAGCAGAAGACCUUAGUUGUCACGCUAUUCAUUCAGGGUGAAAUCAUUUGCAUUCAAUCGGAGGCCGUCCGUUUCCCGCAGGGAUACCGUAGCCCAUUCUGAUCCAGGUGUUGCAGGAUUAAUUUCCUCCUGCGACGAAAGGGAUUAAAUCUUAACGAUGCCAGAUCUGCGCAGGUCCAAAGGCUGCAGGGCAUUUGACAGAACCCGGCAAAUGUUGCUGAAGUCCGAAAGCCCUCUGCUUUCCACUGUUCAGAAGGUCAUGUUACGCGGCCAUCUGUGUUCCAGGGCACAGGGAGACGUCUCAGGAUCGUCUGCUUUCAGCUUGUUAGAGCGAAGGACGUGCUCAACACAUCCCGACGUGCUGUCCAAUCUCUCCACGCGGCCAACCAGUUUAGACGGGUCUCCGCAGCGCCGGCCCGCACACGUCAAGGGGCUACUAGGUCGUCAGCCGGUUAGCGGCUAGAGUCCCCUUCCCAUUCAGAGCCAUUACCCUGUGGCGGCGGUUCAGCACCCCGGGAUCCCUCUGGAUUCCCCUAUCUUGAGUAUUAAUCUACCUGUCUGGAUGGUAAUAUCAAGUGAUGGAUGAUAGCCAGCCAAUGCCAAAGUCAGCUCUUUCUGAGGAGGGCUAUCUGGUUCUGACUCACUCAGGCGCAUAUCUGAAUGUCACUGUUUUCAAAGGGGCCUUUUUGUGUUCAUAAAUGUACAUAAGGACAGUUUUUUAAAGUAUUUUUGUUAUUUAUCACUGGGAUGUGCAAAAUGCGGCAAAUGGUUCCUUUCUAAUUUGUUUGAUUAUGUUACAGUUAAAUUUACAAUUAUGCUGAGAACAUUUUCAUGGUUUGUCGUUGUAAAUACAGCUUUCUCUGUUUUGUAUGUUCCUAAUGCAACUGCAAGCAAAGUAAAUGUGUUAUUUUGAACCAAAAGGUCUAAUUAAGGACAGUGCGUUCCCAUAUGCUACAAUAUUGUUGUGGUGUGUUUGCAAAGGUGUUUCUGGGCAGAAGUAUUUACCUACACGGUUAUGAGAAUUAAUGAGCGUCAAUACAAACGGUGCCAGAUAUUCAUUUGACGAGUCGAUUUAGCUGUGUUCACAAACUAUUUGCUGGAUGUAAAGAAACAUUGGCUGAUUUUAUAUUAAACCGAGGAGAGAUCUUAAGAUCGAAAACUUGGCACCUCGACACAAACAUCAGAAAGAAAACUGCCGCAUGUAAACUGUGUUUUAUCGCCAAACCCCCCCUCCCUUCAUUCUCAGUCAGGGACUAAUUCACCUCAUUUGGCCAUUUCACUUGAAAGAGCCUUUGAAGAGCUAGCUUUUGAGCUUGUUUUGACAGAUAUUUAUUAUGUUUCAUUUUCCCCUCUUAUACCUCCGAGUAAUUUUAGCCAGAGAGUACUAAUUAAAUUGACAGAUUUUGGUUCUAUUUAUGGAGAGGAUGAGGAAGAUGACAAUUAUGGUGAUUGUCUUAUAAUUUUCUUCACAGCCGUCCUCGCCGUCGCUGCCGUCGUCGUCGUCAUCAUCAUCAUCAUCAUCAUCUUGGUGGUUAUAGCUACAAAACAGCACGAGCCAGGUGCAAGCAUGCCAGUGAGCUCAAAGUCUGCUGUUCUGCUGACUCCCUCCAUUUGGGCAUUGUUUAGCAUCCAAGCCAUCAAAAGCCAAUCGCUACUAAACUGAAUCCAAUAGCAGGACAUGUAAUUAGUGCAGGCCAGUUGCAGUACAAGCCCCC